Molecule: transfer RNA, 72 nt
Filed under: Daphnia pulicaria
Lineage: Eukaryota; Metazoa; Arthropoda; Branchiopoda; Diplostraca; Daphniidae
Description: tRNA-Glu
Rfam family: tRNA
About the family: Transfer RNA (tRNA) molecules are approximately 80 nucleotides in length. Their secondary structure includes four short double-helical elements and three loops (D, anti-codon, and T loops). Further hydrogen bonds mediate the characteristic L-shaped molecular structure. tRNAs have two regions of fundamental functional importance: the anti-codon, which is responsible for specific mRNA codon recognition, and the 3' end, to which the tRNAs corresponding amino acid is attached (by aminoacyl-tRNA synthetases). tRNAs cope with the degeneracy of the genetic code in two manners: having more than one tRNA (with a specific anti-codon) for a particular amino acid; and 'wobble' base-pairing, i.e. permitting non-standard base-pairing at the 3rd anti-codon position.
Source: RNAcentral
UCCCAUAUUGUCUAGUGGUUUGGAUACCUGGCUCUCACCCAGGAGACCCGGGUUCAAUUCCCGGUAUGGGAA